This 529-nucleotide ribosomal RNA is filed under the name uncultured bacterium. Its description in RNAcentral is "partial 16S ribosomal RNA". It matches the Rfam family "Bacterial small subunit ribosomal RNA", at positions 355 to 874 of the family's 1533-position model. The record is from RNAcentral.
UGGGGAAUAUUGCACAAUGGGCGCAAGCCUGAUGCAGCCAUGCCGCGUGUGUGAAGAAGGCCUUCGGGUUGUAAAGCACUUUCAGCGAGGAGGAGGGUGGUGAACUUAAUACGUUCAUCAAUUGACGUUACUCGCAGAAGAAGCACCGGCUAACUCCGUGCCAGCAGCCGCGGUAAUACGGAGGGUGCAAGCGUUAAUCGGAAUUACUGGGCGUAAAGCGCACGCAGGCGGUUUGUUAAGUCAGAUGUGAAAUCCCCGGGCUCAACCUGGGAACUGCAUUUGAAACUGGCAAGCUAGAGUCUCGUAGAGGGGGGUAGAAUUCCAGGUGUAGCGGUGAAAUGCGUAGAGAUCUGGAGGAAUACCGGUGGCGAAGGCGGCCCCCUGGACGAAGACUGACGCUCAGGUGCGAAAGCGUGGGGAGCAAACAGGAUUAGAUACCCCUGGUAGUCCACGCUGUAAAACGAUGUCGAUUUGGAGGUUGUGCCCUUGAGGCGUGGCUUCCGGAGCUAACGCGUUAAAUCGACCGCCU